UGAAGUUUCGAUGGAUCCUGACGCCUCAUCGUGUGGAUGCUCCCAGGAUUACUUCUUAGAGGGACUAUCUGUAUUAAAGCAGAUGGAAGCAUGAGGCAAUAACAGGUCUGUGAUGCCCUUCGAUGUUCUGGGCCGCACGCGCGCUACACUGAUAAGUUCAACAAGUUUAACACCUUGGCCGGUAGGUCUGGGUAAUCUUCGUAAAACUUAUCGUGCUGGGGCUAGAUCAUUGUAAUUAUUGAUCUUCAACGAGGAAUUCCUAGUAAGCGUUGAGUCAUCAGCUCGCGUAACGUA
Molecule: ribosomal RNA, 294 nt
Filed under: Baudoinia panamericana UAMH 10762
Lineage: Eukaryota; Fungi; Ascomycota; Dothideomycetes; Mycosphaerellales; Teratosphaeriaceae
Description: partial small subunit ribosomal RNA
Rfam family: Eukaryotic small subunit ribosomal RNA
Source: RNAcentral